GAUGAAGAACGUAGCGAAAUGCGAUAAGUAAUGUGAAUUGCAGAAUUCAGUGAAUCAUCGAGUUUUUGAACGCAUAUUGCGCCCUCUGGUAUUCCGGGGGGCAUGCCUGUUCGAGCGUCAUUAAAUAACCCUCAAGCAUAGCUUGGUGUUGGGCUUUUUUACGUCCUUGACUGGGAUGGGCCUAAAAAUUAGUGGCGAUGGCUUUUUUACUUUCAAGCGUAGUAAAUCUCGUCUUGCUAAAGAGGAAAAAGAUUUUUUUUCUGCCAAAAAUUUUAACAUUUAAAGUUGACCUCGGAUCAGGUAGGAUUACCCGCUGAACUUAAGCAUAUCAAUAAGCGGAGGGA
Molecule: unclassified non-coding RNA, 344 nt
Filed under: soil metagenome
Description: partial contains 5.8S ribosomal RNA, internal transcribed spacer 2, and large subunit ribosomal RNA
Rfam family: 5.8S ribosomal RNA (bases 1-120)
Source: RNAcentral